GAAAUAUAAGAAUCUGUUUCUUAACUUUUAAAUAAAAAACUAAGAACCGAUUCUUAAAUAAGAGUUUUAAAAGCCGGUUCUUAACUUUUUUAAUUAGAAAUUAAGAUACAGAUUCUUAUAUUCU
Non-coding RNA from Brassica napus (rape), 124 nucleotides. Lineage: Eukaryota; Viridiplantae; Streptophyta; Magnoliopsida; Brassicales; Brassicaceae. The record is from Rfam.